CGGGCAGCAGAGCCAGCUUCCCGUGUCCCAUGAGUGUUGGCAAUCAUUGGCCAUAGCACCAGGGAGAGAAAAAUCAAGAAUCCAUCUUGGAAGUAACUCAGACUGAGCUCAUCAGCUUCUGGUACCUGCCAAAUGUAAGUAUAUAAUAUUAACUUUUCCUCUCCCCCUAAAGCCUUAGUGUCUGCCUGAGGUCUUAUCAAGCAAAGAGAUUUACUUAAUGUAUGUAUAUAUGGUGCUCGAUAUUUUGUGGUAUCUUCUUACUUUACUGUGUUCUUUUGUAUUGAAUGGGUACCUCUGUAUUGUAACUGGCUCUGUGUAUUCUAUACAAAUCUCUGCAUUGUACUCAUUCUGUGUAAUGUAUAUGGAUAUCUAUAUUGUACCUACCUUUGAGUAGUAUUGUAUGAGUUGUGUAGAUUUAGUUUUAGCAUACAUGACUAGUAAUAGUUUUUGAUGGUCAAGCUUUUUAAACAGAUGGGUAUUAUGAGAACGCUAUACUAUACUUAAAACCAAUUAAAGAAUGUCCCCAUGCCUGAAAUGUGUCCAAGGCACUCAGAGUAGAGUAAACGCGGUUUGAUAAAUUGGGUAACAUUUAUCAAGACAUUUCAGUGGUAGAGAGGAGAAAUAAAACAAGUUUAUAAAAACAUAAACUAUAGAACAUCCAGUGUUAGUGAAGCAUUGCUUGGACCUUUCAGUGGCAUCACUAGGGCUGGUGUCAACCGAUGAGGUAACUCAUGGUGUCAACCCCUCCACGAACUUCCUUCCUUGCCAGACCAUGACUAUGAGCUAAGUUCCUUAAUGUGAAAUUAACCUCAUCACUGUCUCAUCUAAUGCUGCUGGAUUCAUUUUUCAUUUUUCCUUGCUGUUUACAGUAAACAUUAAGUGCAGUACGUAGAGUUUAUUUGACGGAGAAAGGAAAUCAGUUAUUCCUUUUAGGUGGUUCCUUUUAGGUUGUUUGAGUUCCCAGUUGAUGAGUAUGAAUUCUAUUUAGUGUAUCAGUGAACACUUCUAUGUAUGAUAGAGUAGCACAUGACGUGAUAUUUAUCCUGGAAUAAUAGAUAGACCUGGCAUCCAUUCUUCAGGUAUAUGAGUGGCUAAUGUCUUUUUGUCUCAACCUAUAUUUGAUCAGAACAGUCUUUUUAAGUGACUUGUGGUUUACCAAAACCCCAUCAUUCUCUUACCCAUUAUGACCAUUGAAGAAACUCCAUUGUGUGCCCUCACAUUAUUUUGGCACAUGCUGUUUCUGACAACAGGCCACUUUGAGAGUGUUCAGCCACACGUGCGAUAUGAUUGGUGGAUCUGGAUUGCACGGUCUUGUGAAUAGCAAUAUCCAUCCUCAUGUUUUGAAACCCAGAGUUUGGUUGUCAAACAGCUCUCACCCUCCAAAAUCAGCAUGUAGAAGGUAAGUAUCUGCUGGUUUUAUUCUCUCUGAUCCGAUGGCCUAAAGCUACCAUUUUCUGAUGGUGUCACCAAGUACGGUCUGCACUGCCCUAGUGAUGCUGCUGAGUACCUCCCAUUUGGUGAAAUACCCUUUUGCCAUAUCUUCCCAAUAGCACUUUUACAAAGAAAAAAUAUUGCUAUUGCUAGGCCCUGAGUUCACUGAGACACAGCUGCUCUAGAAAUUUGUACAAUUGAAGCCCUUAAAUUGUUUUAUGUCCUCCUUAUAAUUUCCAUUUUUUUUCUUACUACAUUUAAUAAAUGAAGCAUGGUUUGGAAAAGGGGAGGAAUCCAGCUAUAACAUUGCAUGGAGCUUCCAGAACAGGAGGUAGCACUAAUCAAAAUGGUGCUUUCAGGGCUGGACUGGGAAAAUAUUUGGCCCAGGCAUUUUUUUUAAUCACAGUGGCCCACUGAGAAGGGGGUGGGGCCAGAUAGGGUGUGUUUUGUCAAUAUCAAUGACAAGCAGGCCCCAACAUAAAGUGAGCAUGUUGGUUCAAUGCUCUUCCAGGGCAGACCAUGCGCAGAGAAAAAGGGCCUGUAUUUGUUCUGCACAGCGCAAGCAAAUUUAAUAACAUACUUGCACUGUGUUUGCUUGAAACUUGUCUCUGGUGUCUCCAAAAAUGGGAUACCAGGAGACAAAAAUGCCAGGACAGAGUAUUGUGCAUGUGUUUGGACCUGCUUGUGGGAUUGUGUGUGUGUAGAGUGAGCUGAUUGUGGUGUGGUUUUGUGUAAAUAGGUUGGUUUCAGUCAUGUUGUCUUUGUGGUGUAAUGUAAUGUAUGUGUGUCCUAGGUGUUGUAGAGAGUGUGUGUAUAUAGGGAUCUAGUGUGUGCAUGUGUGUAGGUGAUCCAAAGUUGGUAAAGGAUCUAGUGUAUGCCUGGGUAUCUAGAGAAUCAUAGGAGUUGUAGUUCAGCAACAUCUGGAGAGCUAGAAUUUGGAAAACCCUGCUCUAUAUGCCCAAACUGCUCCAUUAAGCCCAAGUUAUUUUGUCUCUGUAGUGUCCCUUUAAUUCAGGUAUAGGUAGCUACAGUUUGAGUUACAAUUUAAUUUUUUUCCAGAUUACUGAUGUAUCGAACCAUUGUUUUACUAUACUUAUUUAAAAAAAAAAAUUAAAAACAUUUUGAACUGAUUAUGCUAGCUUAUUAUCAAUGGAAUGAUAAAUAAUCGUUAAAAAUUAGACCCAGUAAUCUUUUGAGUGCCCCAUCAUGCAACAUGUACAUUGCAAGAGUAAGUAAUUUCUAGACCCCUGUAACAACACAUUGCAACAUCACUUAAAGGAGCUUAUGUUUCAUCACAAUCCAAAUACAGAAGUACCAUUAUCUUGACCACGUGAUCGUAAAAGGAUUGCAGAAGGCUGAUGUACUUAGUUGUGGUAAUGUAGGUCCACCAUUAGUAAAUAAGUGAAACAUCAGCACUUAAAAAAAGAGUUCAUGAAUCAUUUAAACAUAAGCUCUCAUAAGCUGGGCCCUCAUUAUCUACUAUUUUCUGUAACUGCUGCUGUAUUUCAUUUUGUCUCCAACCCCUUUAAAAAUUCAAUAUGUUAAAUAUAUUUUUUCAUUUACUUUAUAAUAUAAGUAUUACAAAAAAAAAAACAAUACGUACAAAAGUUUCCUUCUUUUCCCUGCUAUUAUCCUUAAAAUAUGAUAUUUGGGGCUACAACGGUCAGUCACGCUGCAUCAUGCAUGACGUCACCACCUUGUCUACCGCCAACACCAUACAAGAGCUGGAAAGGCUCAUAGUCUAAAUGUGCUUUCUAUAGGGAUAAACAUGGUUUCUUGAAUGAAUAGUAACUCAUAAUAGUUUGAGAAACAGAUUUUGCACUUUUUACUGUUUGUAGUCUUAUAGCCACAUACAGACUUAUGUUAAACAUUGUUUGGGACUCUGUAUGCUUUUAUAAAACACAGGAUUUUGUUUUCUUAAAAAAAUACCUGCGUCUGUAUGUUUGGAAUAUUCACCUUUAUGCUCACCCUGACAGCACAUCCAAAGAUACUCUCUUCCACUCUGCUCAAUUCAUACUAGGCCAUGUAUACAUCAGUUUAACUGCACUGAAACUUGGCUGGACAUGCAUACUUGCACCUUUUAGUAAAGGCAAGUUGAUGUUGAUGUCAGCCGUUUGACACGUCCUGUUUGACUAUUCUGUACUCAAGUUUCCAGAUUUGGCUUGUCAUUAAAUUUUAUGGCUUCUGGUAUUCUGAUCCAGUGAAACUUGUGACUACAUCCUUUCCUCUAUCCAUCUAUUGGCUAAUGGCUGACUAGCAAGUUCUGGCCAGGUACCACAUAAAUAUCCUCAUGCAGACAAGGGAUUUUUAACAAUUUUCUCGCAGACUGCCUCCGGGCCCUGAUUUAAUUCAUUCAGACUGGAUUUUAGCCAUCCGGCGGCGUUCAGUAAAGCUGAAAUACUGACCAAAUUCAUUCCCAUUCAAUACCUGAUUUACAAAAUACAGACAUUGCUAAAUCCCAUCAACAGUGACUGGGUUUUGUAGUCUGAAGGACCACAUACAGCAGUGAAUGGCUUUGCCCCAUUUGGUACAGGGCCAUUCAGACUUUAGUUAAUAACCCUGUAAGUCUCUUUAUUUCUGCAUUUGGCCCAUAUUUGCCUUUUAGGCUUCAUAACAACACACAUUUAUUAUCUUAUAAUAUAUAUCCUCCUAAAUGAAUCUACAUGGUAUUGAAGUAUCUAUGUCACUAAAUCCAAAUUUUACCUAAUAUGCUGCUACAUAUGUGUCUAAAUUCAAUUUUACUUUUUCCUGAGGACUAAAGUUAUAUAUAGUAGUCAAAUUGACAGAACUUGACAACGGGCUGGACUUAAAGUAAGGUUCGGUGUCAGUUGUCCCACAGAAGGGCAAAAAGCAGACAUCACAAACAGAGGAGCAUAAAAUGGCUGCUCCAAGAUAUUGAGAUGCAGCACAAGGAAAAAUAUAAAUAUAAAUAUCAAUAAGGCAAGUGGAAAUAUGGGGGAUGAUUAUAACCUUUAAAGGUAAGGAAAGUAAACAGGUAAUAAACACAUGACAGGUCAACUUUAAUUUGUAAUCAUAACAGUUAUUGUUCUGUACAUAUGUGCAUGAUUUAAACUUUCUCUUGGUGCUGAAAGCAGCGUGUGUGUGUGUGUGUGUGUGUGUGUAUAUAUGUAUGUGUGUGUGUAUAUGUAUAUAUAUAUAUAUAAUUGGCACAAAUGAUUCAAGAUUACUUGCAUUCAUAUAUCUUUAAAUAUACACUUCUGACUAUGGAGGCCCAGAGAGGCCAUAUAUUUUUUAUAUUUUUCUGAUGUAAUACCUCAAGAAAACAACUUGUUUGCUUGAGACAAGUCAUAAAAAAUAUUACAAUACAUGGCCUCACUGGACUUCCAUAUCUGACUAUCUGACAGCUUCUGAAUUAAAUUUAAUUAAACUCUGAUAAUUAAAAGGUUGCAUUGACCCAUCCAAUAAUAAAACCUAUUGGGUAAUUUAGAUCUCACAUGUAGAACACUAACCAUUACUGCGCAACCUCUUGGAAUUCCUCAGAUUAUAUUUUUCUUACCUGACACCUUUGUAGUGUGGUCCAGCGUCUGAAAUCAUUAUGCCUGUACCAGCUACAAAAUCAUUUUCUUCACAAUUGCUACAUCUUAUGAACUUUGUCACAGAAUUACUGUUUAUAAAUAAAACCUUGGCAGAACAUGGUGAGUAACUCUGUAACUAAAAGUAUUUUCUUUGUGUCUGUAACACUACAAGUGAUACUUCUAAUGGACUGGUGCAAUAUUAUGUUACAUGGGCUUAAUUUUAUUUCCGAUUGAGCACUAGAUACAUUCCUUGUUUCCAUCGAGCUUACAUUAUUAUAAACACCUUUUUUCUUUUAAAAAUGUAUUCGUUUUCCAGAACUAGUUUAUUUUACUAAAUAGAUCUGCAUCAUGCCCAUCAUGUCAGUGGCGGAACUGACAAAGAAAGGGCAUGGAGCAAGAAUCACUUUGGGCCCCCUCUAUUUCAAAAGUUUUCCAAAAGUGUAGAUCGCCAUCUAUGCCAAGUGUAAGAUGCCCCAUCUACCAUUUGCCCAUCCUUGCAGGGUUGUAUUUAGUACUGAGCAAUGUUUGCUUGUUUGAAUAUAAGCAUGUUGGCAUUUGAAUGCAGGUGUGUGUUUUUACGAGCUGUUGCCAUUUAAAAGCAGCAGUGUUCUUGUGUGUAGUGUUUGCUUUUGAAUGUAGGGGUAUGUUUGUAUGUAGUGUUGACAUUUGAAUGCAGGCUUACAUCUGUGUGUAGAGUUGGUUUUUGAAUGCGUGUGUUUAUACAGAGGUGUGUUUGAAUUAAGUGUUGACAAUUGAAUACAGGGGUGUGUUUGUAUGUAGUGUUGACAUUUGAAUGCACAGUAGUAUUUGUGUGUAUAUGGACAUGCAUGCAAAUAUAAAUAAACACACAGUGACAUUCAUACAGAUACACAAACAUGCACUACAAAUACUGACAAACAUACAGAAACACAGUGACACACAUGCAAAUACACAGACACACACAUACAAAUACUGACACAUAGACAGACACAUAGAUACACAGAGUGACACACAUACAGACACACAUGCUGGGCAGAAUUUACAAUGUUUAUCCACCCUCCUGUUUCCUGCCUUUUGGGUGCAGGAGGGUGGUCUCUGCUGAGGCUUUUGGGAGUCAGAGGCUGGCUCUCUUAGGGCCGCAGCACACAACUGAGUCACUGAUGACACAUGCCCUUGAGUGCAUUAACCACCUGAUGGGUCCCUUAGCAUACAGGCUGGGGUUGGGAAAAAAUAAAUAUCCCCAAGCUAGAACUCAUUUAACAGAACAGGACCAAGCACCUGCUAAAUCAGAACAUGUUGACCCUGGUACCACCUUUGUGCAGCAGCAUUUUAUUUCUUUAUUUUAGUGUGUCAUUUACUAAACUGAGAAUUGUGGGUUUCUGAAAGUGAAAUCAAAUUUAAGGCAAAAAUAGCCGAAUUGUAUAUAUAGCUGACUUUUCCAAUUGGACUAUUUUGGCUUAAAUUAAGACAUUCAUUUUCAGUUCACGGCAUUUCUUCCUUGGUAAAUAACCCUGAGUGUACGCAUUUGCUUUUGUGCAUCUGUGAAUGUAUUAUUUUGGGGUUUUGCAGUAUAUGUGAAUACGCCCCCACAUGCAAACAUCAACACUACAUAAAAUUCACCCCCUACUUUAAACACCAAUUCUACAUGUAAAUACACACACACACACACACACACACACACACACACACACACACACACUAACUUGUAUUAAAACACAAAGACACUGCACACAAAUACAACCCUACAAGGAUAGGUAAACUAUAGGUCCCCAGCUGGCAAGGAAUUGUGGGCAUUGUACAACAGAUGAGGGUCUUUACCUUUUGGCUACCCCUUUCUAUAGAGAACAAGGUUUUUCUCUUCAUUAGUUCUACUACUCCUAACCAUAGUCUGCACUGAUAUAUCCACCUUAAACUGUUUAUUUGUGCAAGGCUGAAAUAAUGGAUUAUAUCAAUAUACUCAGUUGCAGGUAAGUAAAGCCAAAUAUAUCAUGCACAAAGUUUUAGGUAUGAUACAUUGAAGCAAAAAAGACAAGGUUGAUUGUGCAAUGUUUACCAAGAAGGCAACAUUCUCUGAAUUCAGAGGUAUCCAAAUAUAUAUCCAGAAAGUCAUCCAGAUCAAGUUUCACAAGUUAUUCAUGCAUGUCUAGAUCGGCAAGAGUUUUUAAAAUAAAUUGAAACUGAAUUUAACAUUUUAGUCCAUAAUAGCGUAAUUUGAACGUUGUUAUUAUUAGCAUUUAUAUAGCACCAACAUAUUCCGCAGCCAUUUACAAAUAGCUAUAGAAAGGGGAAGAAGUCAAGAAGGCUUUGCUCAUACAAUCUUACAUUCAGUGGCUGAACUAAUGCCGAUGCAUCUGCUUAGGGAGCCCAUUGGGUGGCCCAUGCACUAACCAGGGACCCGGUCUUGCUCUAUGGCCCUUUAAUAGCACAACCAGGCCCCUUUAUAGAUGGCAGUGCUGAGAGAAAGUGACAGGCUUAAAUUGUGUACAUUUUACCUGUAUGUGUAUCUAUCUGUGUGUCUGUGGAUCUAUCAGGUGUCUGUAUGCGUGUGCAAGUGUGUCUAUGUAUCUGUAUGUGUGUCUGUGUGUGUGUAUGUGUGUCAGUGUAUCUAUCUGUGUGUAUGUAUGUGGGCCUAAUGUGUCUUCAGGGACCCGGUCGUGCUCUAUGGCCCUUUAAAGAUGGCAGUGCUGAGAGAAAGUGACGGGCUUAAAUUGUGUACAUUUUGCCUGUAUGUGUAUCUAUCUGUGUGUCUGUGCAUCUAUCAGGUGUCUGUAUGUGUGUGCAAGUGUGUCUAUGUAGCUGUAUGUGUAUCUGUGUGUAUGUAUUUCAGUGUAUCUAUACAUGUGUCUGUGUAUCUGUCACUGUGUGCCCCAGUGCAUCUGAGUGUGUUUGUAUAUCUGUAUGUGUAUCAGUAUUUGUAUGAGUGUCAUUGUGUGUAUCUGUGUAUCUGCAUGUGUUCUAUUGUGUGUGUGACUGUGCACCAUAAUGUUGUGUCAGUAUGUUUAUCUGUGUAUCUGUUAGUGUGUAUGUUUGUGUUUGUUUGUGGAUCUGUGUGUGUAUCUGUAUGUCAGUGUAUCUGCAUGUGUAUUCAGAUGUGUGUAUGUGACAGUGUAAAUGUAUAUGUGCAUUCAUCUCUCCAACACUACACACAUAUUACCAUAUAACAUACCCCUACAUUCAUACACACACAUAUUCUAUACAAAAACAUGCUUACAUCCAAACAAAUUCUGAAUAACAAAUCAAAAUGAACAUUCUUGUCCAUUGCAUGUUUUGUUUGGUUUGUGAUUCGGCUCCAUUUAGGCUUUGAGUUUGGGAAUUCUGGCAAUCAACUGUUCGGCCCAAAUUCAGACAAAUUGCAGUUAAGUAUAAGUCAAGUUAACAUGGCUUCUAUUUAACUGCAAUUUGUCUGAAUUUGGGCCGAACAGUUUAAAAUAUUUAGAUAUUGUGAUGGACCACUGGCACUCCGACUGAGUACCUCCGCCAAUCGAUGCUCCUAGUGCUUGCUGAGGUCUCCAAGCACUCCAACCGACACCAUCAGCACUGCAGACCCCACUUCCAGCGAUGCAGCUGCGCCGGGGUCUCGCUGUCUCCACCCACCCUGGACCCAAGGCCAGGAUCCAGCUUCCAGUGGGUGAACCUCUCUUUCCCCAGAGAGCAGGAACAGGAAGAAGCUCUUAGCAGAGCUUAGUGAUCAUACCCUGGGGAGUAUAGUGAUUAUAGCAAUCCCCAGAGUGUAGUUCUCCAAUCCCCCAAACAUGAGCCAAGGCUUCAAGAAAGGUACAAGAUGAUCUGAUUUUAAUGACCACACACUGGCUUUUAUGCAAGUCCCCAUGCAAGGGGACAUCCCACAGGGUGGGCCACAGUACAACCAAUCAUUUACAGGAAAACCGUAAAACACACCCAGCACCAACAUACAAUCCCUCCCCUCUGCCUGUGAUAUAAUUACUGAACACAAUGGGUUAAUGUAAUUUAUCACAGGCAGGAAAAAUACACUUUUUAUACAUAUACUGUAACUUUAAAAAUAUGCAUCAUAUUCACAUAGAACAUACAUAUUCAGAAUCAGCAUACUUUAAAUAUAAACAUAACCAAAAAUCAUGCAAAUCCUUCCAUUAGUUCAAAAGUUAGUUGGAAGUCCUUUGUGACCAAUGAAGCAUGGCUUUUCUGCCCAAAACUAGUUCCACAGUGUCUUCUAUCCUGGAGAUAAUUGGGAAGUAAUCCAAUUAUCUUCAAGGACAGAGGCAAAGCUCCAUUGAACACAUGGCAGCAAAAAGACAUAAAAUUACACAAUGUUACAAUUACUACAUAAAACAUAUACAUGCAACAUUAUCCCCAGAUAGCUUAGAUCUGAGCACACAUUAUUACGAAAUGGCGCUCAGAUCACCUACAUACAGUUCAAUCACCAUGGAGCCAAAGUCUUUUGUUACACAAAUAGGCUCCAUGGCAUAGCUAUCUGGGGUAGCACUAUUACCAUACUGAAAGUCCAGAACGCCCCAGCAGAAAUACACAAAUAAACCUUUCUGCAGGGGAAAAUACAGCUAUCAGCACAUGGACCAUAGUCGGAAGGCAGGAGGCAAGCCAGUAGUCCCCUCCAGGCACAAGUGUUGAAGGGCAGUUAGUCACAGAUAUCAACUCCCCUCCGGUCCAGUGCCUUAUGUCAGACAUAUCGUCAAACUAUAAACUUGGCUUAUACUUUUCUCAUCCACUGUAGUACAGCUCAUUGCGAAGGGUAGGGCAAUUGAAAGAAGAGCAAGGGCAGAGUGUGUUCGAACCUGAGAUGGGUGUUACAGAAGUGUGACACCUAUGAUGCUGAGAACAUGAGGCACUGGACCAGAGGGGAGUUGAUAUCUAAAUAUUUUCUAUUAAAUAUAUGUAUCUCUGUGUUAAACAUGGAGCGCCAAUGUUAAUAGGAUAGACAUAGGGAUUUGUGCCCAAAAUAGGCAAACUUGGUAGGUAUGCAAACCUCAUCCUAUUAGCAGUGAUUCCCUUAACAGGUCAAAACUGAAAAUCUGUUCUGCAGUGCAGUGUGAAGGGAUCACCAUAUACGUUUCACCAUAUCCAUGCUUGCAAGAAGCUGAGUUUUAGUAGUGAGGAGCAGAGGGGAAAUCACUCUAAUUUUACAUUUUGGGGGCAUCAAUUUAGCACAAUCAUGAGGUGAGAAACUGCAGGCUGAGUUCACUAAGGAUCCCCCACAGUGAGACUGCUGGAACUUGAAUCCCCCAUGAGCCCCAUACCAGAUGAGAAAUAGGUGACUCUGUGCUCAGAAUGAAUACAGGCUAAAAUGAGACCUGAGGUAUUCUCGAGCCCAGUCGGGAGCUAGAUCCUGGAUCUGCUUCACCCCUGAUGAUGCCCCUGUUUUUGGUUCUUAGAGUGUCCCUUUGAACUUUGCAUUUUUGUCCAGUAUUCAUGGUGCAAAUGACUUUUGUGACAGCCUUCUUGUCUGGCAUUCACAUGUUGCCAUAAUAAGGCUUAUGUCAAUAUAGCUAUGCCACAAAGUUGCCAAUACUGGACUAAUAGACUGGCAGCACUAUAGCACCAUUUAUAUAGCUGGCAAACAUAAAUUGCAGCAAACAAGCGCUAUAUAAGGUUAUUAAUAAGGGGCGCUCAUGAUAGGGAGGGUUAGAAGUAGGAUAAUUAAGAUUAAUUGAGGGAAUUAAGAUUAACAAUCUCAAAAUUCUCGCUAGGGAAGCUCCUGCUAACGAUAUACACCCCAACUCUAGAUUCAUCUAAUCCAAUGUUCCUCAUCCAAACCUAGCUCUUCAACCCUAUAUCAUCUCCCUAACCUUAUCCUUGCAGUGUUGUUAUAAAUAGCACAUAUUUUAACUGUGCUGUAAUAUAAUUCCUUUUGCAUGAAUGUAGUGACAUUUCAGCAUCAGUAUUAACGAUGUGCCACUUCUACAAUGAUGAUUUACAAGCAUACCGAGUAAAAUAUGAUAUUUUGUUGUUUUUAUGGGGAGAGGUAGAGGAAUGGAAAAACCAUAAGUAGCUGCUAUUAUCGCAGUCACAAAUGAUGCAAAAGGUAUCACACAAUAAGUAAAAGCUACACUCCACUACUCAAAUACAAAAUUAAUAAAAAUCACUGUUUAGUAGAUAUACUAAAAUAGAUAUACCCCAUAUUAAAAUUUGUAUGCAUUUAAUUAUUUUUUGUUCAUUGGUGCAGAUUUAAUGUACAAGCUGGGGCAAACAGCAUUUAAAAGUUGCAGUUCUCUUGUCUGCAGCCCUUGCCCUCACCUUCAAACCCCACCCAGCCUUUCUGUGGCUGUCCAAUCACAGACUUUACAAUGAACUCAAUGAGAAGUCUUUGCAAGGCAGGUGCUCUGAGCAAUUGCUGCCUCUUGAGUUUAGUUUCACUGAGCUAAACAACCAGGAAGUAACAGGAAAGGUUGUAUGUUCGAAAGGUGUAACCAGGUUAAUUUAUAAAGGUGUCCUUUUUUAUUGAAAUCUACACUUUUUGCAAAAUGAAAAAAAGAGGACACACUCUUCACACAUAAACCUUUUCAGCAAGCUAAAGUGCUUUAGGGGUCUGGAGUGUCCCUUUAAUCCCUUAAGGACCAAACUUCUGGAACAAAAGGGAAUAAUGACAUGUCACACGUCAUGUGUCCUUAAUGGGUUAAAGGGGUACUGAUGGCUGAUGUACAAAUCGUUAAGCAAACCACCAUGUGCACAGUAGGAUUGCAGAGGGAGCUGUUUAAGACCACAUAUGUAAAUUAUUUUUACAUUUUGUCUGACUGACAAAAUAUUGGAAACUUCAUAUAUUUCUUAAGUACACAGCUUUGCUAAUCAUUAGAGCAGAGAAAAUAGCAAUCAAUACGCUUGUUAAAUAUAAAGAUAUUGCAUAGCCGUUUUGGAGAAUUGAUAUUCUCUCGGGGGGGGAGGGGGAGGAGGGAGUUAUUCUCUAACCACCUAACUGAAGUGUACUGAAAGCUGAAAUGCAACAUUUAGGAAAUAUAGUCCAGCUAUAGAUGAGUAGAAGAAUUGUAUUGAAUUAGCUAGUUUAGCCUAAUUGCAAUUACCCCUCUAUAAAUGAGAUAAUUUAUAUGUAAAAAUAAGAACAUUGUAUCUAUCUAUCUAUGACUAUUUUGUCAAAUUUACACAUUUCAUCCCACAUGAAAUGCGAAAGGUUAGAUACUUCACUAGACAGAAGGGCCGGCGCAUCCUAUAGGCGACUUAGGCAGUUGCCUAGGAAUGGGCGCAAGGAGCACCGGUCCCCCUCACGUUGCAGCCGCCUGAGCCCUCUGUAGAGAGCCUAUGGCUAAUGCAGCACUGCCCCAGCUGGCGUGUCCAUUAGGGCGCACCGGCCCGGGGGCGCAAGAUUUGAGGGAGCGGAAGGAGGGAAACGCACAGCGCUUCCUCCUGCUUGUCCCUCAGUGUAGUGUGGCGAGCUCCGCUCCGGUCCAUGGUACAGGAGCAUCCGUUUCCUGUACCUGGCCAAACUGACAGGAAGUGCUCACUCAGUGAGGAAUUCCUGUCAGUCCAGCCGGGUACAGGAAACGGAUGCUCCUGUACCGCAGACCGGACUGGAGCUCGGUCACGCUACACAGGGUAGGGGAGGAGGGUGAGGAGAAUGGGGGGAGACCACUAUGGGAGGGAGGUGGGGGGUGAGGAGAGACCACUAUGGGAGAGAGGAGGUAGAGGAGAGACCACUAUGGAAGGAAGGCGGAGGGGGGAAGAGAGACCAUAUGGGAGGGGGGGUGAGGAGAUACCACUAUGGGGGGGUGAGGAGAGACCACUAAGGGUGGGGGCAAAGGAGAGACUACUAAGGGAGGUGGGUGGAUGGAGGAGAGGCCACUAUGGGGGGGGUGAGGAGAGACCACUAGGGGAGGUAGGGGGGUGGAGUAGAGACCACUAUGAUGGAGAGGAGGAGAGACCACUAGGGGAGAGGGGGACGAGGAGAGACCACAAAGGGUGGGGGAAGAAGAUAAACCACUAAGGAUGUUGGGAGAGGAUAGACCACUAAGGCACAGGGGAGGAGAGACACUAAGGGGUGGGGGAGAGCUCUAAGGGAUGGAAGGGAGAGCUCUAAAGGAUGGGGGCAGGGGAGAGCUCUAAGGGAUGGGGGUAGGAGAGAGCACUAAGGGACACUGUGCAUAUUUUGCAUCUGUCAAUAGUACACAGUGCAUGCACCAAGGACAAGGGGGUAGGAGAGAGCUCUAAGGGAUGGGAGAGCACUAAGGGAUGGGAGAGCACUAAGGGACAGGAGGGGUGAACUCUAAGAGACAGGAGGGGAGAGCACUACGGGAAAGGGGGCAGGGAGAUCACUAGGGAGUAGGGGGGGCACAAGAGAGGAAAGACCAAUAAGGGAUGUGGUGGGGGAGAAGAGACCAAUAACGGACAGGGAAGAGCUGUAAGAGAUGGGAGGAGAGAGCUCUAAGGGGCAGGGGAGAGCUCUAAGGGAUUGUAGGCAGGGGAGAGCUCUAAGGGAUUGUAGGCAGACGAGAGCUCUAAGGGAUUGUAGGCAGACGAGAGCUCUAAGGGACAGUGGGGCAGGGGAGAGCAAUAAGGGACAGUGGGGCAGGAUACAGCAGUAAGGGACAGGAGGGGGGAACACUAAGGGAUAGGGGGCAGGGAGAUUCCUAAGGGACAUGGGAGAUCACUAAGGGACAGUGGGGCAGGGGAGAACACUAAGGGACAGGAGGGGAGAGCUCUAAGGGACAAGAGGGGAGAGAGGCUGAGAAAGGAUGGAAAGAGAUGCACAAAGGGGCUGGUAGGACUCAGCCCCUAUCCUACUCCACAAACUCUCUAUUUCACACUACACACACACACACACACACACACACACACAAUGCAUCCCUAUACAUACACAGAAACACACAGUGCAUCCCUACACACACAGAAACACACCAUGCUUCCCUUACUCACAGAGAAACACACAAUGCAUCAAUUACACACACAAUGCAGCCCUUACACACAAAGAUAAUUCACCCCUUGCACAUAUACACAGAAACACACAAUGCAUCCCUUACACACACAGAAACACACAAUGCAUCCCUUACACACACACACAAUGCAUCCCUUACACACAUCCUGAAACACACAAUGCAUCCCUUACAAAAAACACACCCUGCUUUCCAUCCCUUACACAAAAACACACUGCUUCCACUACACAUAAACACACUGCAUUACCUACACACACUUUAGAUCCUCUACAAUAACACAUAACACAUCCCCUACACACUCCACCCCCUGUGAGCGAUCUCAUGGGUGGAACAUGUAGGUGGACUUAUGGGCAUACUCACCGUCAGGCCCUGGGGGCCAGACCUUGAGCUGUGUAAAGGGCCCCCAAAAAUUGAGCUGCUUCCCAUUCUCCCAGAACAUUGAAUUUUGUGACCACAGUUACAAACAGCCUCCAGAGAUCCUGUUCUACACCAGACCAGUGGAGCCAGACUGCAGCCCAAGCCCAUCAUCAUCCUCAUCUGGUUGUAAGUAGGCAAUCUAGUAUAUUAUUAGUGACACUAAUCUCUAAUUUACCUCACAUUAAAUGGACACUAUAGUCCCUAGAACCACUGCAGCUUAAUGAAGUGGUUCUGGUGGCUAUAGCCUGUCUCUGCAGGCUUUUUAAUGUAAACACACACUGUAUGAACCACUGGCAUUAGUUCAUAUGGGUGGAGCAUUGUGAUGUCACAUGGGGUGGGGGGUGGCAAAUUUUUCUUUUGCCUAGGGCAAAAAAGAAAGAAAGAAAGAAAGACAGAGCUUUCUACAAAGCAGUAAUAUAUAUAUAUAUAUAUAUAUAUAUAUAUAUAUAUAUAUAUAUAUAUAUAAUUAUCAAUCCUUUUUUUUUAAUGGAUAGUUUAAUAAUGCAAACAGCACUAUUUUGGGCUGCUGCAUCUACUAUUCUGUAUUUUAAUUGGUUUGCCGAGCUUGACCCGUUACGCUGGUUCCGAGCACAUAUGUGCGCCAAGGCCAGUGAGAGAAAGGGGAAGGAAUGACUAAAGAUAGAGGGUUUUAAAAAAAAUAAAUAAAUACUGACAGCAACACUGGAAGGAAGAAACAAUCUUCUCCUUGUAGACGCACUGCCUGCAAGUGGUAUGAUUUCCAGUUUGCCAGUUGUCCGCAUGCACUGUGUACUGUUGACAGAUUCAAAAUAUGCACAGAGUUCACAUUGGAAGCCGCUGCCAAUGUCACGUGUGCUGGUGGUGCCUACUAGCCCCCAGCACACAUUUACAAAUAUUUUAGUAUGUGCAGUGUUUCAAACCAAAACACACACAUUCUGUCUCCUACCACCAUGACCACCUCAAAUCACUGAACAUGUCAUGGUGGUGGGAAUAACCCUUUAAAUUUGUUAUACUCUAAAUUAGUUACGUUUGUUUAUUUAAACACAGUACAGUUAUAUUGUUCAACUGGUGAACAAUGCAGAUGUAAUGACUUAGUAGACAUGCUAAACAGGUUUUUACAUGAAUGUUGUCCCAACGCAUCAACAAGACAGUCAUGCAUAUUUUUGUGACACACAAUCUGUAUGUCUGCACAUCACGAGAAAGUUAAGACCUUUGCAUGAUACUCUGCUCUCUGGCUGCGAUCAGUUUGCAGAGCUUAUAAGUAAGAAACAAACAAAUGAUAUUUAGGGACUUACACAUAAACUUGCUUUCUAUCAUGUUUCUAUGUCAUCAGCCAUUUCAGUGUUUUGUGUAAAUGGAAAAUGUAGUAACUGAAGAAAAUGAUAAUUUGAGAUUAUAAAAAGAUUAAUCCAUGGUCUGCAAUCAUAUUUGCGCAAGGUAAGUUUGUUUGUAUUACUAUAAUAGAUAUACUGACUAAGUAAAUAUGUGCGUGAAUACUUUUAUAUAAGUAGAAACAUUUCUAAUAUGUGAUUGCUUCAAGCAAUCAGUACAAGGUUCUUCCGUAUUAAAGUCAAUCCUUUGGGUACUGCUCUUUUCAUAGCAGUACAGUGAAAAUGCUCUUUUGUUAUAUUUGCAAUGAAGGCUUUUCACAGUUCUAAUGUUUUUUUUUUUAAUUUUUCAUUAAUAUGUGACAUAAUUUCAAUGUUAAUUAAUGGUUAUCACAUAUAAGAAUCUUUUUACUGUUGAUAUACAGUGUCUUGUGUUCAUAUUGGGUUUUCUUUUCUUUUUUUUAACAUUUGCUCAUUUUAUUUGUACUUGUCUAGUAUUUUGUGUUCUUACAUUUAUUUUACUUGCCAAUUUUAUUGGCAAGUUGAAAUAAAUACUCGGGAGAAAUAAUUCUGACUGAUUACAGCAUCUUUUUUGCACGUUGAAAAACGCGUCAGUGCUGUAUUUAGACAUUUAUUUAGCCAUUGGAUUUUAUUUGAUUUGAUUUGUGUUUUAUUUGUGUGUAUGGUGCUAAUAAAUUGGAUAUAUUCCUACAAGGAGGUGCUGUUAGAUUGAUGGGGAAGCAGUAAUUCCAUACAUAUCAAGCUAUCAGCUGAAUAAAGUCCAGGAGGAUUGCAGAGGAUACUGGCAAUCUGGUUAGCCAGAUUGACAGUAUCCUGUGUGUGCGCAUGCUCCUGAAUCCAGCACAGAGGCUUCUCAAUGGGAAGUCUCUGAUUGGUGUAUUCCCUGGAACACACAGAACAUCUCUGUUGGAAAAAGAGGGACGAGCUUGCAAAUGCUGCAGACAACAGGUCUGCAGCUUUUGCAAGCUGUUUUAUUUUAUCAUGUACCCACAAUGAAAACAUGCAGAACAAAUACAGGCAAUACAGGUAUAUCUACUGAAUUGUAAAAAAAAAAUGGUGGAGUAUUCCUUUACAUUUUUUUAAAUUGUAGUUGUCCACUGAGAGCUAUAAUUAUCAUUAGCUGAUAUGUUAUGUAAACUUCAUUUGGAUUCUCCUGCCUUUUGGUAUGGCUAACCAGACUCAAGGCAUCACUAGUCGGAGAGGAAUUGAACACAGAGUUAUUCACUAAAGUCAAAAUCCAGAAAAACGGAUGUCAAAAAAGUUAUAAAUUGAUUUGCAUGUCAAUAAAUGAAAUAAGUAUUUGAUCCCCUAUCAAUCAGCAAGAUUUCUAGCUCCCAGUUGUCUUUUACACAGAUAAUGAGCUGAGAUUAGGAGUACUCUCUUAAAGGGAGUGCUCCUAAUCUCAGCUUGUUACCUGUAAUCAAUCAAUCAGAUUCCAAACUCUCCACCAUAGCCAAGACCAAAGAGCUGUCCAAGGAUGUCAGGGGCAAGUUUGUAGACCUACACAAGGCUGGUAUGCAAACCAUCGUCAAGCAGCUUGGUGAGAAGGUGACAACAGUUGGUGCUAUUUUGGCAAAUGGAAGAGACACAAAAUAACUGUCAGUCUGGUGCUCCAUGCAAGAUCUCAAUGAUCAUGAGAACAGUGAGGAAUCAUCCAAGAACUACUAGGGAGGAUCUUGUUAAUGAUCUCAAGGCAGCAGGGACCAUAGUCACCAAGAAAACAGUUGGUAACAAACUUCGCCGUGAAGGACUAAAAUCCUGUGGUGCCCGCAAGGUCCACCUGCUCAAGAAAGCACAUGUACAGGCCCGUCUGAAGUUUGCCAAUGAACAUCUGGAUGAUUCAGAAUAGAACUGGGUGAAAGUGUUGUGGUCAGAUGAGACCAAAAUCGAGCUCUUUGUCAUCAACUCAGCUCGCCGUGUUUGGAGGAGGAAGAAUGCGGCAUAUGACCCCAAGAACACUAUCCCCACCAUCAAACAUGGAGGUGGAAACCUUUCUUUGGGGGUGUUUUUCUGCUAAGGGAACAGAGCAACCACACCACAUUAAAGGGACCAUGGGCAGAGGACCAUGUACCAUCAAAUCUUGGGUGAGAAUCUCCUUACCUCAGCCAGGGCAUUGAAAAUGGUUUGUGAAUGGGUAUUCCAGCAUGGCAAUGACCCAAAACACACAGCCAAGGCAAAAAAGGAGUGGCUCAGGAAGUAGCACAUUAAGGUCCUUGAGUGGCCUAGCCAGUCUACAGACCUUAAUACCAUAGAAAAUCAGUGGAUGGAGAUGAAGGUUCUAGUUGCCAAACGUCAGCCUCGAAACCUUAAUUAUUUGGAGAGGAUCUGCAAACAGGAGUGGGACAAAAUCCCUCCUGAGAUGUGUGCAAACCUGGUGGCCAACUACAAGUAACAUCUGACCUCUGUGAUUUCCUACAAGGGUUUUGUCACCAAGUACAAAGUCGAAGGGGUCAAAUACUUAUUUCACUCAUUGACAUGCAAAUCAAUUUAUUACUUUUUUGACAUGCGUUUUUUGGGAUUUUUGUUGUUGUUGUUGUUCUGUCUCUCACCGUUAAAAUACACCUACCAUUAAAAUGAUAGACUAAUCAUUUCUUUGUCAGUGGACAAACAUUUAAAAUCAGCUGGAGAUCAAAUACUUUUUACCUCAAUGUAUAAUCAUAAAAACAACUUUAGUUUAAUGAAUUAGUUUUGCUGUAUAGAUUGUGCUCUGCAGUCUCACUGCUCAAUGCUCUGACAUUUAGGAGUUAAUUCAAUUUGUUUAUACAUCUCUUGGCUGUGCAAGUAACAUCUUCCUGCAAGUGACUUGCACAGCCUUCCUAAACACAUCCUGAAAAGGAACCUAUAUAUUUUAAGCUCUGUUAUUGCACAGUCUGUUUAAUUUAGGAUUUCUUAUAUUCUGCUCUGUUAAUAGCCUUCUAUAGCCUCCUGUGAAAAUUAAACCAUUUUUUAUGCAGGCUGUGUGAGCUAUAGUCAGACAAGUUAUGGCUAGGGCUGCAUAAGCAGAAAUAGAAACAAAUGUGAUCUCAUUUCUAAAUGGCAAAAUAAUUAAGCAGCGAGGCUGCAUGGGCAUGAUCUAUAAACGGAUUAAUUAAGUUAAAGUUGUUUAGAUACUUUUAGUGUCCAUUUAAGGUUAAAAUAGCCAAAUUGAAAACUGUAAUGACUUGUCGACUGGCUUGGAAAUGUGUCAAUUUUAUAGUGACGGAUGUUGGAUGUCAUUUGUGAUUUCAUUGAUCAAGCCUUAAAGCAACAAACUCUUGCUCGUUGUUGCAUUUUGAUUGGCUGGUUAUACAAAUAUCUGUUCCUAAAAAGAGAAGUGCCCCUGGAACUCUCAAGCACAUGUUCACGUUCUGGAUUUUUGGACCCUCUACACUUUGGCUGAAAGUCAAAUUGCUGUUUCAUUACCUAUUAUUUUAUUUGUCUGGAGUUCCUUGAACAGAUUUUUGUUUAUUCAGUUUUAAAUUAUUCUAUGUAAAAUCAACCAAACAGUUUAAGGCAAAACAGAAUGAUAUAUGAUAAAACAUACGUUCUAUGGCUUGAUUUUAUUAUAAGAUAUAAACAUGUGAACUGCAUUGAAUAGCAUUUUCCCAAUAGAUACUGUAGGAGAUAUGCUCUCGGUCUUGUAAUAUGAUCCAGUUUCUAAUAGAGGUAUAAAUGUAGAAAGUUAAAGUUUCACCAUCGUCUUAAAAGAAAUAGCAGUGAAUGUUGCAUGCGUGAAAGUUCUCUUGGAUUAAAGGUGUUGCAUAUUUGUGCUGCUUUAUUAAACAAACACCUGAUGCAUCUACCAGCUCACCAGGGCUUAGCUCAAUGCAGACUGCUUCUGGAAUUCAUGAAGGAAGUGAAUACAGGUAAGUUGUGAAGCCAUUAGCAAAUGGUUUUACUUACAUCAGAGGGGCACACGGCAGUCCUAGCACCAUAACCAAAACAGUGCCUGGAGUAAUUUUGGCCAGUGUUUGUGACCAAGUGGCUACUGAAAAAGACUGGACAUUUGCAAUACCUUGGGUUAGUCUACUAUUGCAAAUGGUAUGCCAUCAUGGUGGUAAUUCUCAUUCCUGGGCUACCAUACGCUCUCAAAGGCAAAUUUCAAUGUGAAAAAAAGGAAAAAUGUAACAUGCUAUAUUUGACCCUAUAACUUCUCAAAAUGCCAUAAAAUCUGUAGAUAGGAAGUACUGUUUUACACGUGAGACAUCGCUGAAUACAAAUGUGUAUUUUAUUGCAGUAAAAGCAAACAGUAUUAUAACAUUCACAGUAAAAAUGUCACGUAGAACUAAAAAAAUAUAUUUUUAUCAAAUUUUUUUUAUAUUUUAUUCAUAUUAAAUUAUGUUUCAUACCUAAAUAUUUGAUGUUAAAUGAAAACCCUUUUUCCCCUGAAUAAAAUGAUAUAUAAUAAGGGUGGGUGCACAUAAGAUGAAAGAGGUGAAUUAUGCCUGAACAGACAUGUAGCGCAAAUGCCAGAUUUUGUUUGUUUUGUUUUGAUCACAUCGUGUACAUUUGGCUCAGUCCUUAAGGGGUUAAACAAUAUUGCAACAUAUUUAUGUGAAGGUUUAACUUAAAAGAACACUAUUGUGCUGGGAAUGUAUUGUGGCUGUUUAGGUCCCUAGCCUCCCUUAGAUUGCAAGAAAAAGGUAUUUUAUCUACCUUUUCUCCCGGGUCCCACCUCCAUGGCUGAGAUCAUCAAUGUUGAUGAUCUCAGGCAAUCCAAUGCUUACCCAAUUGCACAAAAAGAAGCAAAAUGCAGUACUGGGCCAAUCAGCAUCUCCUCAUUAGAGAUGCAUUGAAUCAAUGCAUCUCUAUGGGAAGCGGUCAGCAUCUGCAUACUUAAUUUUUUUCCUACACCGUGCGGGUUUCUCAGCAGCUGGCACUGCCUGGUCCAGAUCAAUUUGAUGAUCUCAGCCUAUUCAAUACUUUCCCAUUGGAAAAAUGCCAUGCUGUGCCAGUCAGUAGCUCCUCCUAGAGAUGUGUUGCAUCAGUGCAUGUCCAUAGGGAGAGUUCAGUGUCUCCAUGCAGAGCAUUGCAACGCAUAGUGCAGCACUGAGAUAGGAAGCACUUGUAGUGGCCAUCUGAUUGACAGCCACUAGAGGUGUUACUACUCAGCAAUGUAAACACUGACUUUUCUCUGAAUGUUUGUAUUGAAAAGCCUGUUAGAUACUAUAGUGUCCCUUUAAAUUUUAUAACUUGCUUUCAAAUAAGUUAGGUCAGUAUUAGGCUUUGAGUGAACUCCUGAACUACAUGUGAUACUCUAAAAAUUUGAAUAUCGUGCAAAAGUUCAUUUAUUUCAGUAAUGCAACGUAAAAGGGGAAACCAAUAUAUGAGAUACACAUUACAUGCAAAGCAAGAUGGUUCAAGCUGUGAUGUCAUAAGUGCGAUGAUUAUGGUUUACAGCUCAUGAAAACCCCAAAUCCACAAUCUCAGUAAAUUAGAAUAUUGUAAGAUGCAAUAUUCUAUCUAGGCUCACAGUGUCCCACUCUAAUCAGCUAAGUAAGCCAUAACACCUGCAAAGGGUUUCUGAGCCUUUACAUGCUCUCUGUCUGGUUCAGUAGGAAUCACAAUCAUGGGGAAGACUGCUGACACUUGUGCAGAAAACCAUCAUUGACACCCUCCAUAAGGAGGGAAAGCCUCAAAAAGUAAUUGCGAAGGAAGUUGGAUGUUUCCAAAGUGCUGUAUCAAACCCAAUUAAUAGAAAGGGGGAAACGUGUGGAAGAAAAAGGUACACAAGCAGCAGGGAUGACCGCAACAUGGAGAGGAUUGUCAGGAAAAGGCCAUUCAAAUGUGUUGGGCACUUUCACAAGGAAUGGACUGAGGCUGGAGUCAGUGCAUCAAGAGCCACCACACACAGAUGGAUCCUGGACAUGGGCUUCAGAUGUUGUAUUCCUCUUGUCAAGCCGCUCCUGAACAACAAACAACGUCAGAAGCGUCUUACCUGGGCUAAAGAAAAACAGACCUGGUCUGUUGCUCAGUGGUCCAAAGUCCUCUUUUCUGAUGAAAGCAACUUUUGCAUCUCAUUUGGAAACCAAGGACCCAGAGUCUGGAGGAAGAAUGGAGAGGCACACACUCCAAGAUGCUUGAAGUCCAGUGUGAAGUUUCCACAGUCUGUGUUGAUUUGGGGAGCCAUGUCAUCUGCUGGUGUUGGUCGACUGUGUUUCAUUAAGUCCAGGGUCAACGCAGCCAUCUACAAGGAGAUUUUGGAGCACUUCAUGCUUCCUUCCACAGACAAGCUUUAUGGGGAUGCUGACUUAAUUUUCCAGCAGGAAAGCACCAAAGCCUGGUUAAAUGACCGUGGGAUUACUGUGCUUGAUUGGCCAGCAAACUCGCCUGACCUGAACCCCAUAAAGAAUCUAUGGGGCAUUGCCAAGAGAAAGAUGAGAGACAUGAGACCAAACAAUGCAUAAGAGCUGAAGGCCGCUAUUGAAGCAUCCAGGUCUUCCAUAACAGCUCAGCAGUGCCACAGGCUGAUAGCUUCCAUGCCACGCCGCAUUGAGGUAGUAAUUGCUGCAAAAGGGGCCCAAAACAAGUACUGAGUCCAUAUCCAUGCUUAUACUUUUCAGAGGUCCGAUAUUGUUCUAUGUACACUCCUUGUUUUAUUGAUUGCAUGUAAUAUUCUAAUUUACUGAGAUUGUGGAUUUGGGGUUUUCAUGAGCUGUAAGCCAUAAUCAUAGCACUUAUGACAAAUCACAGCUUUAACUAUCUUGCUUUGCAUUUACUGCGUCUAUCUCAUAUAUUAGUUUCCCCCUUUACGUUGCAUUACUGAAAUAAAUGAACUUUUGCACGAUAUUCUAAUUUUUCAAGUAUCACCUGUAAUUCCCAACUAUUUCCAAGUUAAAUACUUCGAUUUGCAUGAGUUACUAACUCUCUUUCUCUGUCUCUCUACAAAAGUAGAUAAAUAAAAUUAAUAUAUGUGUAUAUAUAUGUGUAUAUAUAUAUGUGUGUAUAUAUAUAUAUAUAUAUGUAUAUAUAUGUAUAUAUAUGUAUAUAUAUGUAUAUAUGUGUAUAUAUGUAUAUGUGUGUAUAUAUAUAUUUAUUGUUAAAAAAAAAGAAGAAAAAAACAAUUAGGAGUCCUUAACGUGUGUUAAGUGGAGUGAAGGUUAAAGAGACACUAUAGUUCCCAGAACAACUACAGCUUAAUGUAAUGGUUCUGGUGUCUACAACCUGUCCCUGCAGGCAAUUUAAUGUUAAUGCUGUGCUUUCAGAGAAGAGUCAGUGUUUACAUUACUGCCUAGUAACAACUCUAGUGGCAACCACUCAUACGUUACACGUUCCUGUUAGUGCUGCACAGUGUGUAGCAUUGGCGUUCACACACUGCAUAACGACACUGAACGUUCCUCAUAGAUAUAAAAUGAUUCAAUGCAUCUCUAUGAGGAGAUGCUAAUUGCUGCAGCGCAGCACUUUACUAUGCAUGCGCAAUAGCCUCCUAAUGCUUUCCUAUGGGAAAACACUGGGCUGGCUGAGAUCAUCAAGUUUUAUGAUGAUUAUUUAGAGAGUAAACUCAGUUACUGCAAGGAAAGGGAGCUGGAGAUCUAAAUAGUUAUUUUACCACUAUAUUGUCUGUAAUACAUGUUUGUGUUCAUGACACUAUAGUGUUCCUUUAAUAAAUAAUUCACGUGUAUUUGCAGUUGCCUCAUACUCUUUGAAAUUAGUAUAAAAUUGUGUCCUUUAGUGUCUGAAUCUUUCUGAAUCCUUGCAUACAUACUAUUCUGUACAACAAAGAAUGAUGUUUUUGAUUCUAAACUCUGAUCUUAGAUCCCCUCUAUAAUAUUGUAUUUUCUUACAAUUGCAAGUUAACAUAUUUGACACCCUUUGUUUCAUUCCUGUAUCUCUGAGCUUAAUUGCGUCAAAUAUGUUUUCUUUACGCAUUGAACAGCAUAUAGAAUAAAUUUUCCACUAUACAAAUGGCAUUUUAUAAAUAUCUAUAAUUCAAUAUAUGGAGUGUAGUUAAUCUGUUUCCUUGACAAUCGGUUAAAUUAAAUUAUUAUGUGGUUUUUUAUGUUUAAAGUUAUUAGUGUCAAUUAGUGCUUGUAGUUGGUUUUAGAUAUUACAUUUCCGUCACUUUCAUGCACACACAUUAAUAAUAAUAUUAUUUAAACUAUGAUUCAUCAAAUCCUGCGUUUGAGAACUAAUAUAGAUUCCAAUUAUAGAUCUAAUAAAAAAAACACUGAAAUAAUUCUAGAAAUGUAUUGAAUUUGCAUUCUGUGCUUCUACUAAACCAAAAAGAGAAUAGAAAUGCUUUUACAUCUUUAUUCUAUGCCAUCAAUUCAAACGACACCCGAGAGACGGCCAAAACAUAAAUCAAUAUAAAAAAAGAUUUACUUACAGUGCAUGUUUAUACACAGGAAAACUGCAUGACUAGUAAUAAUCUUGGUUCAAUGCCAUUUUAAUAGGUGUCAAUAUGAUGACAGGCCCCUUCUGGUUGAGUUAAAGGAACACUCCUGGCACUAUAACAACUUCCUCAUCCUUCUACUUUUCUCAGAUUCUUCAGUAAACAGUAAAAGCAGACUACCUUGGACUGGGGCGCCGCUGAUUCCCAUAUGUAAGUUUCCCAAGCCGAUUGGUGAAUGUGGAACUACUAAUUGGCUUAGAGCAUCAACUGAUGCUCUCAGCCAAUUAGCUGAGAGCAGUUACAUUUGGUGGUUAAAACAUUCCGGGGGUCUUCCUGGCACCAUAGCAACUUAAGUACAAUUAAGCUGCUAUGGUUCUUGAAAGUUCCCUUUAAUUUUCGCUGCAUAUAGGUAAAUUAGAUAAAUGCAAUUUUCCAGUCUACUAUAAUUCUAACAAGGUAUUAAAUGAACUCCACAAAAAUAGCAGUUUAGCAAAUAUACCCCCUGUAAUAAAAAUAAAUAAGCAUGCUUUUCUUUCAGGGGUAUAUUGUAUCUUUGCUUGCAAUAGCUGCAGCUCCAGCAUUGAAAUCGGUAUUUUUAUAAAAUGAAACAAAGGGAAUAUUCACUACACACACAAAGCACUUCAGCAAGCUGAAUUGGUUUAUGUAUUUGGAGUGUUCCUUUAAAAUGUAAAAUAACUUCUGUAUGAAGCAGGCCAGCUCUUAUUAUUCAGGGACAUUGGAUAAUUAUUCGAUUGCAUCUGUCUAUAGUACCUCUUAUUUAGAGGCUGUGCAGAAUGCAAAAUUGGCUCUUCAAAUUCCAAGGUAAUGCUAGGACCAAUUUAUUCAAUAUCCUUCAUGUAUUUUGUAUUCCUUUCUUUCCACCCAUACUAUUCCCACUAAGCCUGUUUAUAUUUUUAGAGUAGGGGGAAGGGGCUGAAAAAUCACAAGCAGUGCCGACAGGGUCUGUCUCUCUGGCUGCUUGUAUAGUGGUGUCAUGUGUCCAUCCAGUAACCUUUUUGAUAGAUCAUGCUCCUCUCCUGAAAUUGAUUCUAGUAAAUGUAAUAUGUAUCAUGCUAAGUAUGAAAGCAUCAUGCAUACGGCAUUAUGAUAGGAUUAAACUGUUUCUAGACUCAUUGACCUUGGCUUGUUACUUUGACUAUUCUACUGCUUUUUGUUCCAACCAUUUUGCCUAAUAUAAGCCUUCCAUUAAGUCUGACCACUCUAAAGACGCACGUAUGCACACUUUAAAAUCUUCCCCAAACCUAAAGUCCUUUAAGAGAUCCCUCUCUACAUACCUCAAAAAAGAAUGCACCUGUCAUGGUUGAUUAUAUAUUUCCUACCUGUUCUAUGUUACAUUUUGUAUAUAUUGUGUAUUAAUAUUGUUUUUGUAUUUUAUUGUGCCCUAAUGUAUCAAUGCAAUGUUUUGUGGACCCAGGACAUACUUGAAAACGAGAGAAAUCUCAAUGUAUCUUUCCUGGUAAAAUAUUUUAUAAAUGAAUAAAUCUGGAUUUUUCUGCUUUUGGGGAAUUUCAUAGGAUUCAAGCCCUGUGUGUUGGUCACCCUUACUUAUUUUGGUAGAGGCUAAACAUUUAUCUGCUUAUUCAAGUAAAAUGUCAAAGGUAUAGCUUUUCCCUGAUGGCUGGGCUAGAUGUCAAAUCAAAAAGGCAACUGGCAUAUGUUAGCCUAUGUGCCUGGGUUCCAAUAGUAGUGUUCAAGCUACAUAUACUCUAUGUAUAUAAUCUCAUAUAAAUGUCUUUUAUAAAUGUUUUAUGCUGAUACUUAAAAUCAUUGUAAUUUAAUUAUUGGAAAUGUUUCUUAUAUUUUAAGAGAAACCUAUUUCUAAAAUAUUUACAGCAAAGGUUUGCACUGCCAAGUGGUUGUUUCUGAGGUUCUCAACCAUACCCAUUAAUACAGGUAUAGUCUGCAGGUGUGUUCAAAACAAGCAACACAUGUUUUUCUUGAUCCUAUAGAUGCAUCCUGAAAAUGAGGGGAAAACUAUCCUGGAUGGAAUAAUCUGCAUUAGUGCUUUUUAAACUAGUAUUCAUCUAUUUCACCAUAGCUAUGACCUGGACUCCUCAUGUCUUGGUUUCAGGAAAUGGUAAAGUCCAAUGUAUCCAUUUUAGAUUGCUGCUUUGUAAUUUUUAACAUGGUACUCUAAUUCAAACCUACUUUGUGAAUGCUAAACGAGAAAGUAAAGGUUCUGUUCUAAAAAGUGGUAUAAAGCAUUAAACAUGGGGCAAUUAUCUUGGACACCAGCGGAACCAGCAUGCACAUUCCAUUAGUGAAUCCUUCUUAGAACAGAACACUGUGAUAAAUAACCCCUUUUGUCUCUAGUACACAUAUCACCAAGGCAAGCUGCUCUGAAUAUAAACAUAUAGUCACAGCAGCUUGCGAUUAUGAUAUUUAUUUAUUGAAUUAUUUAUAUUUUGCGGACAAUGCCCUCAAUGUAUUACUUAGACUAGUGUUUCUAUAAUGUUUCUUUUAAUUACAUAUUGCCUACAUGUAACUUUCCUUUCAAAAGUGUAAAAAAAAAAUCAAUUAGGG
This is a non-coding RNA of Pelobates cultripes (western spadefoot toad), 26416 nucleotides long. The record is from the annotation of a GenBank genome assembly. Lineage: Eukaryota; Metazoa; Chordata; Amphibia; Anura; Pelobatidae.